UGGGGAAUAUUGGACAAUGGGCGAAAGCCUGAUCCAGCCAUGCCGCGUGUGUGAAGAAGGUCUUCGGAUUGUAAAGCACUGUAAGUUGGGAGGAAGGGUUGUAGAUUAAUACUCUGCAAUUUUGACGUUACCGACAGAAUAAGCACCGGCUAACUCUGUGCCAGCAGCCGCGGUAAUACAGAGGGUGCAAGCGUUAAUCGGAAUUACUGGGCGUAAAGCGCGCGUAGGUGGUUUGUUAAGUUGGAUGUGAAAUCCCCGGGCUCAACCUGGGAACUGCAUCCAAAACUGGCAAGCUAGAGUAUGGUAGAGGGUGGUGGAAUUUCCUGUGUAGCGGUGAAAUGCGUAGAUAUAGGAAGGAACACCAGUGGCGAAGGCGACCACCUGGACUGAUACUGACACUGAGGUGCGAAAGCGUGGGGAGCAAACA
RNAcentral lists this ribosomal RNA (427 nucleotides) under uncultured Pseudomonas sp. RNAcentral describes it as "bacterial SSU rRNA". It matches the Rfam family "Bacterial small subunit ribosomal RNA", at positions 355 to 774 of the family's 1533-position model. Lineage: Bacteria; Pseudomonadati; Pseudomonadota; Gammaproteobacteria; Pseudomonadales; Pseudomonadaceae. The record is from RNAcentral.